This 70-nucleotide transfer RNA is filed under the name Laccaria bicolor S238N-H82. Its description in RNAcentral is "tRNA-Arg (ACG) (tRNA-Arg-ACG-3-1)". It matches the Rfam family "tRNA". From Rfam's summary of the family: Transfer RNA (tRNA) molecules are approximately 80 nucleotides in length. Their secondary structure includes four short double-helical elements and three loops (D, anti-codon, and T loops). Further hydrogen bonds mediate the characteristic L-shaped molecular structure. tRNAs have two regions of fundamental functional importance: the anti-codon, which is responsible for specific mRNA codon recognition, and the 3' end, to which the tRNAs corresponding amino acid is attached (by aminoacyl-tRNA synthetases). tRNAs cope with the degeneracy of the genetic code in two manners: having more than one tRNA (with a specific anti-codon) for a particular amino acid; and 'wobble' base-pairing, i.e. permitting non-standard base-pairing at the 3rd anti-codon position. The record is from RNAcentral. Lineage: Eukaryota; Fungi; Basidiomycota; Agaricomycetes; Agaricales; Hydnangiaceae.
GGCCGUGUGGAAAUGGCAUCGCGUCUGACUACGAAUCAGGAGAUUGCAGGUUCGACCCCUGUCUCGGUCA